RNAcentral lists this long non-coding RNA (632 nucleotides) under Bos taurus (domestic cattle). RNAcentral describes it as "long non-coding RNA NONBTAT017139". Lineage: Eukaryota; Metazoa; Chordata; Mammalia; Artiodactyla; Bovidae. The record is from RNAcentral.
GCGUUCACCGAAGCUGAAAACCAGAGCACAGAAGGAAAGGGAAGGAUCCCACCCACAACAUCUUAGACCCGGCAUCAAGAGCACAGGUACAUGGAAUUCCAGCUGAACUCCCGUUAGCUCCUAGGAGAGCCUGAGGAAGCAGAGGAGGUACGGGUGCUCAAGAAGACGGGAGAGCCACACCUCGGCACAGCAGGGCAAAUGUGCAGAUAAGAAGCACAAGCUAAGGCACCCAGAAGAGACCAGAUGCCCCAAGGGAGGCUUUGACCAAGGAUGCCUAUAAGUAGGCUGAGAGGAUUUUAAUAGGCAGAGUUUGGAAAUACAGAAGGCUGAUUUGUGUUCUCCUUUUAUUCCCAUUGUUUUUCUGCCUAGAUAGGAUAACCUUUCCCUCUGCCAUCAAGAGUCACAUCAAACUGUCCCUUUGUUGACCCUCUUCCAGACAAGAUUAGUAGCCCCACCAUUACCUCCCAAGGAUCACUUGCCCACCUAUAAAAGCACUGCUGUAAUUUGAUGUAAUUUUUGUGAGAUUGUCACCCAUCAAGUUCAGACCCGAAGCAGUGACAUGAUCAAAGGAACUGUCCACCACCAAAAGCUAAUUUUAAAAUAUGUCUCAGACAACGUAGAGGUGAUACUAG